Molecule: ribosomal RNA, 1177 nt
Filed under: uncultured bacterium
Lineage: Bacteria
Description: bacterial SSU rRNA
Rfam family: Bacterial small subunit ribosomal RNA
Source: RNAcentral
GCCACACCGGGACUGAGACACGGCCCGGACUCCUACGGGAGGCAGCAGUGGGGAAUAUUGGACAAUGGGGGCAACCCUGAUCCAGCCAUGCCGCGUGUGUGAAGAAGGCCUUUUGGUUGUAAAGCACUUUAAGCAGUGAAGAAGACCUAACGGUUAAUACCCGUUAGCGAUGACAUUAGCUGCAGAAUAAGCACCGGCUAACUCUGCGCCAGCAGCCGCGGUAAUACAGAGGGUGCAAGCGUUAAUCGGAAUUACUGGGCGUAAAGCGAGCGUAGGUGGCUUGAUAAGUCAGAUGUGAAAUCCCCGGGCUUAACCUGGGAACUGCAUCUGAUACUGUUGGGCUAGAGUAGGUGAGAGGGAGGUAGAAUUUCAGGUGUAGCGGUGAAAUGCGUAGAGAUCUGAAGGAAUACCGAUGGCGAAGGCAGCCUCCUGGCAUCAUACUGACACUGAGGUUCGAAAGCGUGGGUAGCAAACAGGAUUAGAUACCCUGGUAGUCCACGCCGUAAACGAUGUCUACUAGUCGUUGGGGAACUUGAUUCCUUAGUGACGCAGCUAACGCAAUAAGUAGACCGCCUGGGGAGUACGGCCGCAAGGUUAAAACUCAAAUGAAUUGACGGGGGCCCGCACAAGCGGUGGAGCAUGUGGUUUAAUUCGAUGCAACGCGAAGAACCUUACCUGGUCUUGACAUAUCUAGAAUCCUGCAGAGAUGCGGGAGUGCCUUCGGGAAUUAGAAUACAGGUGCUGCAUGGCUGUCGUCAGCUCGUGUCGUGAGAUGUUGGGUUAAGUCCCGCAACGAGCGCAACCCUUUUCCUUAGUUACCAGCGGUUUGGCCGGGGACUCUAAGGAUACUGCCAGUGACAAACUGGAGGAAGGCGGGGACGACGUCAAGUCAUCAUGGCCCUUACGACCAGGGCUACACACGUGCUACAAUGGUAGGUACAGAGGGCAGCUACACAGCGAUGUGAUGCGAAUCUCAAAAAGCCUAUCGUAGUCCAGAUUGGAGUCUGCAACUCGACUCCAUGAAGUAGGAAUCGCUAGUAAUCGCGGAUCAGAAUGCCGCGGUGAAUACGUUCCCGGGCCUUGUACACACCGCCCGUCACACCAUGGGAGUUGAUUGCACCAGAAGUGGGUAGCCUAACUUUUAGAGGGCGCUCACCACGGUGUGGUUGAUGACUGG